CCUACGGGGGGCUGCAGUGGGGAAUAUUGGACAAUGGGGGCAACCCUGAUCCAGCCAUGCCGCGUGUGUGAAGAAGGCCCUCGGGUUGUAAAGCACUUUCAGUGAGGAAGAACGCCUGGUGGUUAAUACCCAUCAGGAAAGACAUCACUCACAGAAGAAGCACCGGCUAACUCCGUGCCAGCAGCCGCGGUAAUACGGAGGGUGCGAGCGUUAAUCGGAAUUACUGGGCGUAAAGCGCGCGUAGGUGGCUUGAUAAGCCGGUUGUGAAAGCCCCGGGCUCAACCUGGGAACGGCAGCCGGAACUGUCAAGCUAGAGUGCAGGAGAGGAAAGUAGAAUUCCCGGUGUAGCGGUGAAAUGCGUAGAGAUCGGGAGGAAUACCAGUGGCGAAGGCGGCCUUCUGGACUGACACUGACGCUGAGGUGCGAAAGCGUGGGUAGCAAACAGGAUUAGAUACCCUGGUAGUC
RNAcentral lists this ribosomal RNA (465 nucleotides) under Vreelandella stevensii. Its description in RNAcentral is "partial 16S ribosomal RNA". It matches the Rfam family "Bacterial small subunit ribosomal RNA", at positions 338 to 795 of the family's 1533-position model. Lineage: Bacteria; Pseudomonadati; Pseudomonadota; Gammaproteobacteria; Oceanospirillales; Halomonadaceae. The record is from RNAcentral.